CCCAGAAUUCCUGGUGGGAGCUCAUUACGCUUCUGGCCAGUCUGAAAGCCUGAGACCCUCUAGACUGGGAACACAUGGGGAGUAGAUAACCCAAGGGAACUUAUGAGCCUGACUACUGUCUUCUUCCUUACUAGACCACUAUGACUUACUGAAGAUUUCCUGAUGGUUGGACCGCAGAGCUGCCGAGAGGAGGGCGGUCGAUGAGAGGCAAGGGUCAGCUACUGGACCCAUCAUGAACGCCCACCUCCGCCGCCUCUCCAUCACAGCCGUCCACUAUGCCCGAAGAUGGAGCCUUCUGUUUCAUUCUGGGAGACAGCCCCAGACUGAAAAGGCACCAGAAAGCCCAAAGCGAUAGCCUAAUUAAAAAAAAAAAAGUAAACAAGAAGAGAGGGUGAAGGGGUCCCCAGUGCACUAAACGCUAUUUAUUUAUUUAUUUACUUUUCAAUAUAUAAAAUAAACAGUAAAAAAGAGAAGAGACGGAA
Non-coding RNA from Rattus norvegicus (Norway rat), 482 nucleotides. The record is from RefSeq and is a predicted model, not a curated record. NCBI's taxonomy places the organism in Eukaryota, Metazoa, Chordata, Mammalia, Rodentia, Muridae.